UUCACCCCUAAUCGGGACGGCCAGAUGAGAGGCGCCCACCUCGACUCGUAACUCUCGAGUCUCUCUUGGGCGCGGGGCGCCAGUUUCCCAAGUCCCAACCUGUGACGAGCGCACUGGCACGCACAUCCUCCGCGCCUCCGUGGCUCCCAUUCCAAUUUGUGCUUCUUGUACGGUUUGCUCCGCCUACCUCCGCCUCGCCCCAAGUACUGCGCGGCGCGCCGUCUCCACCGGUCAGUCCCUCCCCUCCUCCUCCAAUGACGGGAUCCUCCUUCCUGCCGUCUUCCUGCUCCGUGGCACCAUGGCGAGACCGUCUUCCUGCUCGUGCUGCCACGGCCUCGCCACAGAUCAACAGGAUGCUUUGAAGGUUUGGGCAAUGUACAUCCUGUUCAUUGCCAUGCGAGGAUCGAGGAGUGAACAGUGAAGCGUGUUCCAAAAGUGAUGGCUGCUGACACAUAUGCCGCCUGCCCGGUAGCAAACCAUUGUCAACGUCCGCAACUCUUGCUUCACAAGUGCGCUCCCAAUUAAUAUGCUCAAGGGGCGAAAUGCUCAGUGGCCCAUGCAGAUUGUUCAGGUCUUUGAGUUCUGCCACUCCUGCUGUCAUUGGAGUGAAGUGCACAAUGAAAACAGGGAGUGUUUGCAGUUUAGUCAACUUUCCUAUGCCCUCAGGUAAACUUUUGAACUUGCAGACUGGUAUUGUAGAAUCAUUUCUUCCUAAGACAUUAUAAUCAAGAUGCCGCAAAUUUUGUAA
Molecule: long non-coding RNA, 748 nt
Organism: Oryza sativa Japonica Group (Japanese rice)
Lineage: Eukaryota; Viridiplantae; Streptophyta; Magnoliopsida; Poales; Poaceae
Source: RefSeq, a predicted model, not a curated record